CAAGCCUUAAAGAGAAGCAGAACGUUUAUCAAAAAGGACGGAAGGCAAAAGCUGAGACGAAAGACAGAACAGUUCACUCACGAAACAGAGGCUUCUUAUCACACAUGCAACGGAAAAUCUAGGGUUCUUUACAAAUCACUAAUUCUUGAACUCAGGUAUGUAAAAUUCCCUAUGGUCAAUUACCGUAAUAGGUAAGAAUUGAAUAGUUAAUUACCUUAUUCCUCUAUAUCAACAAUAAAUUUCAUGUUUAGGUGUAAAAUUUUAAAUUUAUUAAAAUACACUGGUUGUUGUAGAAUCAAUUGGUUGACGGGUAUAAAUUGGACUGGGGCCUACGUAUUUGCUCGAGAAGUUUUGAGGUGAGUUAAUAUAAUCCUUUACCAAAGUAGUUUUACUCACAAAAGUAUGCAUACAAGGUGUUUGUUGAAUUGGCUAAAAGAAUGAAUAUGUACUUAAUUGAAGAGUGAGUAGCUCAUCUUACUUUCCAACUCAAAAGUUUUGUGCCUCACAUUCAAUUUCAAAUCGUUUCCCUUAUGUAGAAAAAAUAAAGUUCCUACCAUUAGGUUUGUUCAAAAAUCUGCAUUUUUAGUUUGGUACUAUCGUAUUAGAAACACGGUAAGAGUAAAUAUUGUGAGGAAUCCAAUUCAUAUGUUUAGAUUUUUUUUCCUUUUUUCUUUUUUUUUCUCUAUUUGGAAUUUGGCCAAAAAGCUGCAUUGACAUUCUAUUAGCAUAGAAUUAUGUUAGUUAAAGUCAGAUGAUUUAUUCUGACAUAUGUGC
This 774-nucleotide long non-coding RNA is filed under the name Nicotiana tabacum (common tobacco). RNAcentral describes it as "long non-coding RNA (NTAB_LNC015156)". The record is from RNAcentral. Lineage: Eukaryota; Viridiplantae; Streptophyta; Magnoliopsida; Solanales; Solanaceae.